UUCUAAAUGCGAAUGGUAGCAGGACCUGCGGCACAGGAAGGACUGACUAAAUGUGCUGAAAAAAUAUGCAUCUAUCCUCAGUGUGGAAAAUUUUCUUGCAGUGUUCUGACAUUACAUUUCUAGAAUUGAAGAUGGACUGACUGAUUCAAGAAGAUAAACCCAGAUCUUGGAGUCUCUGCUUGGGAAUGGGAGGCCAUUGUGCAAGUAGCAAUGAACAGACACAGAAAAAGCUGUCCUUGUCCUAGUGACUUUCUGAAAUUUGCACAACCCUGCAUCUGAGCA
Molecule: long non-coding RNA, 282 nt
Filed under: Ficedula albicollis (Collared flycatcher)
Lineage: Eukaryota; Metazoa; Chordata; Aves; Passeriformes; Muscicapidae
Description: lncRNA (ENSFALG00000027941.1)
Source: RNAcentral